UCACUGACCAAAAAGUUUAAGAGCCGCGGUAUAUUGACCGUGCAAAGGUAGCAUAAUAAUUAGUUUUUUAAUUGAAAACUAGCAUGAAUGGUUUGACAAAAGAAAAGCUGUCUCUGUUUUAAAUAUUGAAUUUAACUUCUAAGUGAAAAGGCUUAGAUAGUUCAAGGGGACGAUAAGACCCUAUAAAGCUUCAUAUGUUGUAAGUGUUUUACUAAAUUAGUGUUUCAAAAGUUUGCGCUUGUAAUUUAUUUUGUUGGGGUGACAAAGGUAUAAGUAAAAUAACUGUUUUAAAUAUACACAAUAAUGGUUGAAAUUUGUUAAUUGAUCCUCUGUAGUGAUUUAAGAUUAAGUUACUUUAGGGAUAACAGCGUAAUUCUUUUUGAGAGUCCAUAUCGAAAAAGGAGUUUGCGACCUCGAUGUUGAAUUAAAAAUUCUUUAUUGUGCAGCCGCUAUAAAAGAAGGUCUGUUCGACCUUUAAUUUUUUACAUGAUUUGAGUUCAGAUCGGCGUGAGCCAGGUUG
Molecule: ribosomal RNA, 520 nt
Filed under: Acanthocarpus brevispinis
Lineage: Eukaryota; Metazoa; Arthropoda; Malacostraca; Decapoda; Calappidae
Description: partial 16S ribosomal RNA
Rfam family: Archaeal large subunit ribosomal RNA
Source: RNAcentral